Molecule: ribosomal RNA, 465 nt
Filed under: uncultured Klebsiella sp.
Lineage: Bacteria; Pseudomonadati; Pseudomonadota; Gammaproteobacteria; Enterobacterales; Enterobacteriaceae
Description: bacterial SSU rRNA
Rfam family: Bacterial small subunit ribosomal RNA
Source: RNAcentral
CCUACGGGGGGCUGCAGUGGGGAAUAUUGCACAAUGGGCGCAAGCCUGAUGCAGCCAUGCCGCGUGUGUGAAGAAGGCCUUCGGGUUGUAAAGCACUUUCAGCGGGGAGGAAGGCGGUGAGGUUAAUAACCUCAUCGAUUGACGUUACCCGCAGAAGAAGCACCGGCUAACUCCGUGCCAGCAGCCGCGGUAAUACGGAGGGUGCAAGCGUUAAUCGGAAUCACUGGGCGUAAAGCGCACGCAGGCGGUCUGUCAAGUCGGAUGUGAAAUCCCCGGGCUCAACCUGGGAACUGCAUUCGAAACUGGCAGGCUAGAGUCUUGUAGAGGGGGGUAGAAUUCCAGGUGUAGCGGUGAAAUGCGUAGAGAUCUGGAGGAAUACCGGUGGCGAAGGCGGCCCCCCGGACAAAGACUGACGCUCAGGUGCGAAAGCGUGGGGAGCAAACAGGAUUAGAUACCCUAGUAGUC